Molecule: non-coding RNA, 1566 nt
Organism: Oncorhynchus kisutch (coho salmon)
Lineage: Eukaryota; Metazoa; Chordata; Actinopteri; Salmoniformes; Salmonidae
Source: the annotation of a RefSeq genome assembly
UUUAUAAUCAGACACUCAGCCUUCUCAUUAUGUGGAUUGAUUCGGUAGCAAGCACAGCAUAUAACCUGACUAUCACUGAACAAUGAGGACUGUCUGGAGUUUAGUACUCAUGGUGGUGUUUGUAAAAAGUGUUCAUGGUCAGAUACUGACUGAGUCUGGACCAGUGGUUAAAAAGCCUGGAGAAUCACACAAACUGACCUGUACAACCUCUGGGUUCACAUUCAGUAACUUCUGGAUGGCUUGGAUCAGACAGACUCCUGGGAAAGGACUAGAAUUUAUGGCAGCACAUUAUAACAGCAUAAAUAUUGCCUACUCCCAGUCUGUUCAGGGUCGGUUCACCAUCUCUAGAGAUGACAGCAAGCAGCAGGUGUAUCUCCAGAUGAACAGCCUGAAGACUGAAGACUCUGCUGUUUAUUAUUGUGCCAGAGACACAGUGACACAGGAGGCUGCAGCACCGUACAAAAACUGUUCAAACCUGAUCACGGCUGUAACACAACAAAAUGUGGAAUAAGACAAGGGAUAUGAAUAAUAUCUGAGGGCACUGUAAUUGUCAUGGUGAUGUCCAUACACAGUGUUUGUUCUGAUAUCAGACUGGAUCAGUCUCCUUCUCAGGCGAAACGACCUGCAGACACAAUUAAAUUGUCCUGUUCAAUCUUUGUUUAUUCAAUGACUAGAUCUACAAUUCACUGGAUAAGGCAGAAACCAGGGAAAGUACUGGAGUGGAUCGGGAGAAUGAAGAAUGGUUCAGGCACAGAUGUUAUCCAUGCAGACUCCCUGAAAAGCUUAUUCAUCCUGACUGAGGAUGUCUCCACAAGCACACAGUUCUUAGAGGCCAAGAGUUUGAGAGCAGAGGACUCUGCUGUUUAUUAUUGUGCUCAACAGACACUGACUGGAGAUGGUGAAGCAGUUAUACAAAAACCCCAACACCGCCUAACAAUAUGGCUAGCUGGUGUACUACUUCCUCUCUUUGCUUUACAGUAAUGCUGUGUAUAGCAUUACUGUAAAGAAUACAAUAACAAUAUCACAAAGAACUACACAAUUUAAAGGGUCCAGCCUCUAACAUUCAAACUACCUCUUUCUUGCCUAGUCUGGUCAAGCUUUCUUGAUGUCACAUAAAAAAAAAUCAUAAACAAAGUAUUCAGAACAUAUGAACCUGUUCCUCAUCUCUGAAUUCUCUAUUUAAUCUCUGUGUGAUCUUCCCACCCUGUGAGGAGGAGUCAAUGCAAAACUCUGAUCUCUUUAUAUGGUCCCCAUAUCCUUGAUUAGUAACUGUAUAAGUGUGCCCUUUGUUCACCAUUGUCUUGUCUAUUAUUGUUCCAUUGUCCGUUGGUCGUGUGAGUAACUGUGCUUGUUUUGGCUCUCGUGCUGCAUGUUGUGCGUUUGUGUUUUCGGGUCACGUCCCGUGUAUUUAUUACAGAUCUCGCCACGUGUAUUAGAGGUACUCCUCGCUCUUUGUUUGGGUUCAACCCUGUGUUUUGUAUACAUGUUUGUUUGAUCUUUGUCCCUGUGCCUUUACAUGUGACGCUGUCAUUUGGUUGAAAUAUAAAACCAUAUUACACAUUUCUG